Molecule: ribosomal RNA, 404 nt
Filed under: Fusobacteriota bacterium
Lineage: Bacteria; Fusobacteriati; Fusobacteriota
Description: Fusobacteria bacterium partial 16S ribosomal RNA
Rfam family: Bacterial small subunit ribosomal RNA
Source: RNAcentral
UGGGGAAUAUUGCACAAUGGAGGGAACUCUGAUGCAGCGACGCCGCGUGUGUGAUGAAGGAAUUCGUUUCGUAAAACUCUGUUCUAUGGGAAGAAAAGGACUGUACCAUAGGAGAAAGCUCCGGCUAAAUACGUGCCAGCAGCCGCGGUAAUACGUAUGGAGCGAGCGUUGUCCGGAAUUAUUGGGCGUAAAGGGUGCGCAGGCGGCUUUACAAGUUGGAUGUGAAAUAUUGUGGCUCAACCACAAACGUGCAUCCAAAACUGCAAAGCUUGAGUUAAGGAGAAGUAAGUGGAAUUCCUGGUGUAGCGGUGGAAUGCGUAGAUAUCAGGAGGAAUACCGGUGGCGAAGGCGACUUACUGGACUUAAACUGACGCUCAGGCACGAAAGCGUGGGGAGCAAACAGG